This 200-nucleotide ribosomal RNA is filed under the name uncultured eukaryote. RNAcentral's name for it is "partial 18S ribosomal RNA". It matches the Rfam family "Eukaryotic small subunit ribosomal RNA", at positions 587 to 801 of the family's 1831-position model. The record is from RNAcentral.
AGCUCCUAAAGUGUAUACUAACGUUGUUGCAGUUAAAAAGCUCGUAGUUGAACUAUUGGUGUGGGUGAAUGUUGGCCUUUGGAUGUAUUGUCCAUUGUUGUUGCUGCUUUACCUUGCCAUCUUGGAUUUUCUUCUUUAGGAGAUCCUCUUUCACUGUAAAAAAUUAGGGUGUUCCAAGCAGAUUGUAAUUGGUCGGAAUA